AAAAAAAAAAUUAUCACUUCCAUCUGCUAGUCUCUACCAAAGAGUUCAAUAAAACUAGCAAAGAAGCUGAUACGAGCUGGUCAUUGCAUUCAAGGGUUCCAAAUGCAGAAUUCUGGGGAAAAAAAUGAACUUCUAGGGAAAGGCAACAAAACAAGUUUUCAGAUUUGAGAUUGGAAAGGGAAUCUUCAAUUCAAUGGUUGCCAUUAUUUCAAUUUAGUAAUACAUGCCCAGUGGAAAUACC
This 241-nucleotide unclassified non-coding RNA is filed under the name Hevea brasiliensis (rubber tree). The record is from RNAcentral. Lineage: Eukaryota; Viridiplantae; Streptophyta; Magnoliopsida; Malpighiales; Euphorbiaceae.